This 328-nucleotide ribosomal RNA is filed under the name uncultured eukaryote. RNAcentral's name for it is "partial 18S ribosomal RNA". It matches the Rfam family "Eukaryotic small subunit ribosomal RNA", at positions 1470 to 1796 of the family's 1831-position model. The record is from RNAcentral.
CCCUUAGAUGUUCUGGGCCGCACGCGCGCUACACUGACUACUUCAACGAGUUGUUUCCUUGAUCGAAAGGUGUGGGUAAUCUUUUGAGCCCUCGUCGUGCUGGGGCUAGAUCUUUGUAAUUUUCGAUCUCAAACGAGGAAUUCCUAGUAAGCGUGAUUCAUCAGAUCGCGUUGAUUACGUCCCUGCCCUUUGUACACACCGCCCGUCGCUACUACCGAUUGAAUGGUUUAGUGAGAACUCGGGACUGGCACUAAGGGGCUGGCAACAGCCUAUUAGAGCCGGGAACUUGCUCAAACUUGAUCAUUUAGAGGAAGUAAAAGUCGUAACA